GUGCUACAUGGUGGAUCUGCACAGUACAUUCCCCUUUCAGGUGUUGUGGAAUAGGCACUUAAACAGGCACCUGAGAAUGAGAUGUGCUGUGUCUGUCAGCACUAGAAGGC
Gallus gallus (chicken) is the source of this 110-nucleotide microRNA precursor. Lineage: Eukaryota; Metazoa; Chordata; Aves; Galliformes; Phasianidae. The record is from Ensembl.